UACGGAGGACGCGAGCGUUAUCCGGAUUCAUUGGGUUUAAAGGGUGCGCAGGCGGCCGUGCAAGUCAGCGGUGAAAGCCCGGGGCCCAACCCCGGAAGUGCCGUUGAUACUGUAUGGCUGGAAUGUGGUCGAGGCGGGCGGAACGUGGCGUGUAGCGGUAAAAUGCGUAGAUAUGCCACAGAACGCCGAUAGCGGAGGCAGCUCGCCAGGCCUGCAUUGACGCUCGGGCUCGAAAGCGUGGGGAGCAAAC
This 250-nucleotide ribosomal RNA is filed under the name uncultured prokaryote. Its description in RNAcentral is "partial 16S ribosomal RNA". It matches the Rfam family "Bacterial small subunit ribosomal RNA", at positions 524 to 773 of the family's 1533-position model. The record is from RNAcentral.